AGUAUAGGUACAGCUCAUAAAGUCAGAAAGAAGAAUGAAAUACAUAGAAGACGGCAGCGAAGUGGAAGUAUCCCAAACAAAAUCUCCAAAGUGAUGAGCCGCGAAGGAUGCCAUCCAGUCUGUCGCACUGUUUGCCUCUAUGAAGAUAUGGGUAGCCCGAUGAGAGGCGCACUCCUCCAAAAGCCUACGGUAUCAUGAAUCAGUCGUGACCCGCUAGCCGCACUGCCAGACUCCUAGAUCCACUCAAUCGUUAUGGCUGAGUCCCCCUCCAAAAUAAUGCGAUCAGCACCUA
RNAcentral lists this long non-coding RNA (292 nucleotides) under Phoenix dactylifera (date palm). RNAcentral describes it as "long non-coding RNA (PDAC_LNC000294)". The record is from RNAcentral. Lineage: Eukaryota; Viridiplantae; Streptophyta; Magnoliopsida; Arecales; Arecaceae.